AUGUGCGGCGCCGCUAUCCCCACUACCUGAGUGACUUCCGAGAUGCACUUGACCCUCAGUGCCUGGCCGCAGUCAUCUUCAUCUACUUUGCCGCCCUGUCUCCUGCCAUCACCUUUGGGGGGCUGCUGGGUGAGGAGAGCCUUCAGGUAGGGGGCGGCGGGGACUGCCCAGGGCCUGGCCACCAGCUCCUGAGCUGGUUCCUGCACCCCUAGGAGAGAAGACGCAGGACCUGAUAGGGGUGUCGGAGCUGAUUAUGUCCACAGCGCUCCAGGGCGUGGUCUUCUGCCUGCUGGGUGCCCAGCCCCUGUUGGUGAUCGGCUUCUCAGGGCCCCUGCUGGUCUUUGAGGAGGCCUUCUUCUCGUUCUGUAGCAGCAACCACCUGGAGUACCUGGUGGGCCGUGUGUGGAUCGGCUUCUGGCUGGUGUUCCUGGCCCUGCUCAUGGUGGCCCUGGAGGGGAGCUUCCUGGUCCGCUUCGUCUCCCGCUUCACCCAGGAGAUCUUCGCCUUCUUGAUCUCACUCAUCUUCAUCUAUGAGACCUUCUACAAGCUGGUGAAG
Molecule: small RNA, 556 nt
Filed under: Pan troglodytes (chimpanzee)
Lineage: Eukaryota; Metazoa; Chordata; Mammalia; Primates; Hominidae
Description: retained intron
Source: RNAcentral